AUGGCAGGGGACGCGAGUGCCGGGAGCGGGCACCUGGCACCAGCGUGGCACGAGCUGGAAGCCUCGAAAGAAAGACGGGCACAAGACAGGAGCUGCUGGCACGCCGGGAAGGCUCCAGCAUGCCCAGUCCGUCUAGUGGCUCCCCUCGGGGUCCGAGAUGUGCGUUUUCAUCUGCAAGGAGAAAAGCAGAGCGGGGCACUCGGGUGCACCCCGGGGAGCACGGAGCGUCCCUUCCAGAGCCCACCAGGACCCGAUUUUGGCAAAGCAGGGAGCUGGGGGAAGGCAGCUGGCCCCUGCCUUACCGUCUCCUCUGUGUCCGUGCUCUCCUCUGCGCUGUCGAUGGCACGCAGGUGCCCGUCCCCUCCUGUCCCCUCCUUGCCCCGGGAGCCCUCUCCCACCGGGGACGGUGACGCUGCGCCCGCCUCCGCCCUCUUCUUCUCGCUCUCCUUGCACCCUGCGGGGACAGGGACAGCAGGAGCUGGGUGUGCCCAUGCAGAGCACCAGCCCCGUGCUCACAGGGGCAGGGGGCAAAGCCCCAUGGCACCAAAGGGGAUGAGGGGAGGGGACCGGUGCGGGGAACGUCUCAGCGGGGUUUGGACUCGGCAGAGUCCGGGGCAGGCAGCAUCCCUCACCCGAGAGCCGCUCUCUCCGCUGGUCCAUGCGCUCCAGGCUCUCCAGCAGGCUGUCCACCUGCGCCUUGAUCUGGCUCAGCUCCCCCUUGAUGGAGUGCAGCUCCUCGGCUCGCACUGCGGGCGAGAGGAGCUGUCGGGAUCCCACCCCACACCUCGUAGCAACGAGGUCAGCACCGAGCAAGAGGUGUGGGCACAGGCACUGCUGCAACGCCCCGAGGUGCACACAGCCAGGCUCCCCGGCUCGUUGCCUCCCGCAGGACCCAGCCCCUCCAGCCCAGCCGCCCCGUCCCGCUCACGUUUUGUCCGUGUCCCCGUGGAGCUGCUGCUGCUGCUCCGUGCCCCGGGCUGGGGGCUCGGGCUGCUUUUGCCUCCUGCUCCUGCGUGA
Molecule: long non-coding RNA, 1017 nt
Filed under: Anas platyrhynchos platyrhynchos (common mallard)
Lineage: Eukaryota; Metazoa; Chordata; Aves; Anseriformes; Anatidae
Description: lncRNA (ENSAPLG00000022345.1)
Source: RNAcentral